CGGCCUAGAGAGUCCAGCCAUGCCGCGUGUGUGAAGAAGGUCUUCGGAUUGUAAAGCACUUUAAGUUGGGAGGAAGGGCAGUUACCUAAUACGUGGUUGUUUUGACGUUACCGACAGAAUAAGCCCCGGUUAACUCUGUGCCAGCAAGCGGGGGA
Molecule: ribosomal RNA, 155 nt
Filed under: uncultured Pseudomonas sp.
Lineage: Bacteria; Pseudomonadati; Pseudomonadota; Gammaproteobacteria; Pseudomonadales; Pseudomonadaceae
Description: partial 16S ribosomal RNA
Rfam family: Bacterial small subunit ribosomal RNA
Source: RNAcentral